Long non-coding RNA from Piliocolobus tephrosceles (Ugandan red Colobus), 1422 nucleotides. NCBI's taxonomy places the organism in Eukaryota, Metazoa, Chordata, Mammalia, Primates, Cercopithecidae. The record is from Ensembl.
UAACGACAGCUAUAACGAUAGUAAUAAAGUUUUAAAUUUUCAAGCAACAAAAAGAUUGGAUUGUAAAAUAAAUGGAGAUACAGAUUUACAAGCACCACAAUCAUCAUCAUUAGAUAAUACUUUUUCAAAAGAAGUCGAGCAAGAAAAUAUAAACCCGUUUGAUAAAAAAGAAAAUACAUUAUACAAUUGUAGUACUGUUCAGAGUGAUGUAAAGAAUGUUAUGGACAUUAGUCAACACGCACACACAGACUCAUGCACAUACACAUUCUAUGAACAGUUGGAUAACUGUAACAAUUGUAUUGGAAACUAUGUAAACAAAAAUUUAUUCAAAAAAUUAAAAAAAAUUGUAUUAAAUGAUAAUUAUUUAUAUGAUUAUGAAGAAUUGUUUUAUUUCAUUUAUAAAAUAAAAUCUAUUCAAUCUAUUUUUUUAAAUAAUAAUAAAUAUGAGGAUAAUAAUAAUUUGAUUGAUAUUGUUUAUAAUAUAUGUAUCGAGGAGGAUAAUUACAAAAAGAAUAAAGAAGUAAACAAUCCAACAAAUGAGGAGAAGUUCAAUACAGAUAAAGUAAUGUCUGAUGGUUUGCUUCAACAUAAACAUCUAUGUAGUAACACAGAAAUAGACAAAUUCGAACUUAUAAAUACACAUUUUAAUCAUUUAAAAGAAUUUUUAUUUAAUAAUAAUAAAAUAAAAAAAUAUGAAACACUAAGAGAUUUAUUUUAUAUUUUAUAUGAUAUCGAAAUAUUAAAAUUACAAAAUAAAAAAAAUAAUAAUUAUAAUGAAAAAAAAAACUUAAGAUAUAUAUUUAUAGCUAUUUUACCAAAAUUAAAAGUUUUAAAUCAUAGUUGUGUAAAUAAAACAGAAAGAAUAAAUUUAGAACGUUUUUUUAUAUCAGCAUAUAAUAGGGAUCCCAUAGCCAAAAUAUUCAACCAAGUUGUCUUAAACCGGACCCAUAGUAGUAGACUAGAAAAAAUACAUUACGAAGCAAUGCAAUGUGAAAAAGACACUGAGAAAAAAAACUGUAUGCAAAGUAACCUUAUUAAUAUUACAAUCAUUCCUGAAUUCAUAAAUACAAAGAAAUUAAACAUUAUAAAAAAAAAAGUUAAUAGGAACAUGAAUAUAAAAGAUUUAAAAUAUUUAUGUUCAAGACUGUAUUCAAUUCCAAUACCUAAAAUGCAGUUGUUUUAUACCGACGAGGUAAAUAGAAAAAAAAAAAAAAAAAAAAAAAAAACGCAAUGCAAUGCAAAACUUAUAGUCAUACAUACAAUUAACACGCAUUUGCAAGUAUAACGAAACAAAAAUAAUAUUUGGGUGUGUCAUAGAACAUAUUUCUUUAAAUUAUGUUCCACUACACUUAACAAAUUUUUUGGCUUUCUCAUAUUUAUACAAUACAAAUGUUUCACCAAAUAAAUCUUUUAUUUUCAUCA